This 640-nucleotide ribosomal RNA is filed under the name Didemnum vexillum. Its description in RNAcentral is "12S ribosomal RNA". Lineage: Eukaryota; Metazoa; Chordata; Ascidiacea; Aplousobranchia; Didemnidae. The record is from RNAcentral.
UAAUUUUUAUAAUUAGUUAAUAUAUUAGUGUUCAUUUAGGUAUAACAUUAUAAAUAAAUAAUUUUUAAUUUUUAUAUUUUACAGAAGCUAUUAUUAAUUAAACUAUAUUAGUAUAUGAAUAGUGUCUGGCAAAAAAUUAGUGCCAGCAGCUGCGGUCACUCUUUUGGGUUAAAAAAUAUAAUAAUUGAUAAUUUUUAGAUUUUAUAUUUAAAAGGUCGAAUUUAAAUGCGUUAAUUGUAAAUACAGAUUAGAGACCUGUUUAUAGUUUAAAAAUAUAAUAAGAAGUUAAUAAAAAUAAAUUUAUUAGACGGAUUUUGAGAAAUAGGGAACCUUGUAGCUUAAUAAGAUGGUCCUCUUUAUAUAUAUAGUUAAUUUAUAAAGGUUGCAUAUGUUCGAAUAUUGUGCCUAAGAAUGGUCUUGAUAGUAUUAAAAAAAUAAUUCAGAUCAACAUACACUUUUUUAACUGAGUUUAUUAGGUUUAAUUAUUUUUUUAUAUUAUAGAUUAGAAAAAUUUUAAGAAAACUUAUAAGUAAUUUUAAAUAAAUAAGUUACAAUGAAAAUAGAAAUAGUACUCACCGCCCGCUGAGUUUUUAGAAAAUUAAGGCGUAACAAGGUAGUUUAUUUAGAAAAAUUAACUAGU